GAUGAAGAACGCAGCGAAAUGCGAUAAGUAAUGUGAAUUGCAGAAUUCAGUGAAUCAUCGAAUCUUUGAACGCACAUUGCGCCCAUUAGUAUUCUAGUGGGCAUGCCUGUUCGAGCGUCAUUUCAACCCUUAAGCCUAGCUUAGUAUUGGGAAUCGACUUUACUGUCGUUCCUCAAAUUCAACGGCGGAUUUAUAGCAAUCUCUGAACGUAGUAAUUUUUUUCCUCGUUUUUGAAAUACUAUAAACCUCAGCCGCUAAACCCCCAAUUUUUUUAUGGUUGACCUCGGAUCAGGUAGGAAUACCCGCUGAACUUAAGCAUAUCAAUAGCGGAGGA
This 334-nucleotide unclassified non-coding RNA is filed under the name soil metagenome. Its description in RNAcentral is "partial contains 5.8S ribosomal RNA, internal transcribed spacer 2, and large subunit ribosomal RNA". The stretch from base 1 to 120 matches the Rfam family "5.8S ribosomal RNA", at positions 35 to 154 of the family's 154-position model. The record is from RNAcentral.